Molecule: ribosomal RNA, 800 nt
Filed under: Candidatus Peribacteria bacterium
Lineage: Bacteria; Candidatus Peregrinibacteriota; Candidatus Peribacteria
Description: partial 23S ribosomal RNA
Rfam family: Bacterial large subunit ribosomal RNA
Source: RNAcentral
AACAAAUUUAUUUAAAAGCAAUGAAAGGAUGCCUUGGGUAAAAAAGAGGAUGAAAGACGUGACAGGCUGCGAAAAGUCUCGAUGAGGUGCCAAUAACCGCUUGGAGUCGAGAAUAUCUGAAUGGGGAAACCUAGCUGCUAUAAGCGGCUGCCGAAAUGGCCAGUACCUGGUGAAGUGAAAUAUCUCAGUAACCAGAGGAAAAGAAAUCGUAAUGAGAUUCUCUUAGUAGUGACGAGCGAACAGGGAAAAGUCCAAACCGCAUUAGAUUCGUCUAAUGACGGGGUUGUAGGAAGAUACAUAUGGAGUUACAAGUUAUUGUUAGUAGAAGUACUUAAAAGGUACACCACAGAGGGUUUAAGUCCCGUAUAUAAAAAUGAUGACUACUUCGUAUCUCUCCUGAGUAGUGUCGGACACGAGAAAUCCGGCAUGAAUCCGCCCAGACCUUUGGGUAAGACUAAAUACUUUUUUACACCGAUAGCGUAUAGUACCGUGAGGGAAAGGUGAAAAGAACCCCUGGUAGGGGAGUGAAAUAGAUUCUGAAAUUCAUUGCUUACAAUUGAGUGGGAGCCUUAGGGUGACCACGUACCUAUUGACGAAUGGGUCAGCGAGUUAAUGGUGCUAGCAAGGUUAAGUCAGUUAUAGACGGAGCCGUAGGGAAACCGAGUCUGAAUAGGGCGAUUUAGUUAGUAUUAUUAGACCCGAAGCGUUAUGAGCUAGGCAUGGGCAGGUUGAAGAGUUGGGAAACUGACUUGGAGGACCGAACGGGUUGGAGCUGCAAAUCCUUCCGAUGACCUGUGUCU